This 915-nucleotide ribosomal RNA is filed under the name Streptomyces demainii. RNAcentral's name for it is "bacterial SSU rRNA". It matches the Rfam family "Bacterial small subunit ribosomal RNA", at positions 54 to 981 of the family's 1533-position model. The record is from RNAcentral. Lineage: Bacteria; Bacillati; Actinomycetota; Actinomycetes; Kitasatosporales; Streptomycetaceae.
UAUGCAAGUCGACGAUGAACCGGUUUCGGCCGGGGAUUAGUGGCGAACGGGUGAGUAACACGUGGGCAAUCUGCCCUGCACUCUGGGACAAGCCCUGGAAACGGGGUCUAAUACCGGAUAUGACUGCCGACCGCAUGGUCUGGUGGUGGAAAGCUCCGGCGGUGCAGGAUGAGCCCGCGGCCUAUCAGCUUGUUGGUGGGGUGAUGGCCUACCAAGGCGACGACGGGUAGUAGGCCUGAGAGGGCGACCGGCCACACUGGGACUGAGACACGGCCCAGACUCCUACGGGAGGCAGCAGUGGGGAAUAUUGCACAAUGGGCGCAAGCCUGAUGCAGCGACGCCGCGUGAGGGAUGACGGCCUUAGGGUUGUAAACCUCUUUCAGCAGGGAAGAAGCGCGAGUGACGGUACCUGCAGAAGAAGCGCCGGCUAACUACGUGCCAGCAGCCGCGGUUUUACGUAGGGCGCAAGCGUUGUCCGGAAUUAUUGGGCGUAAAGAGCUCGUAGGCGGCUUGUCGCGUCGGAUGUGAAAGCCCGGGGCUUAACUCCGGGUCUGCAUUCGAUACGGGCAGGCUAGAGUUCGGUAGGGUAGAUCGGAAUUCCUGGUGUAGCGGUGAAAUGCGCAGAUAUCAGGAGGAACACCGGUGGCGAAAGGCGGAUCUCUGGGCCGAUACUGACGCUGAGGAGCGAAAGCGUGGGGAGCGAACAUGAUUAGAUACCCUGGUACGUCACGCCGUCAUCGUUGGGAACUAGGUGUGGGCGACAUUCCACGUUGUCCGUGCCGCAGCUAACGCAUUAAGUUCCCCGCCUGGGGAGUACGGCCGCAAGGCUAAAACUCAAAGGAAUUGACGGGUCAGCGCACAUGCGGCGGAGCAUGUGGCUUAAUUCGACGCAACGCGAAGAACCUUACCAAGGCU